AUGUACCACUUGUACAUUCCGGUUCCUGCGCGCCGCGCGCACCCGCCUGACAACCGCUCGCUACGCUUUGUUGGCC
Molecule: small RNA, 76 nt
Filed under: Pseudomonas oryzihabitans
Lineage: Bacteria; Pseudomonadati; Pseudomonadota; Gammaproteobacteria; Pseudomonadales; Pseudomonadaceae
Also listed under: 1 other name
Description: sX9 sRNA
Rfam family: Xanthomonas sRNA sX9
Source: RNAcentral